This is a long non-coding RNA of Passer domesticus (house sparrow), 4953 nucleotides long. RefSeq lists it as uncharacterized. The transcript is spliced from 2 exons. The record is from RefSeq and is a predicted model, not a curated record. NCBI's taxonomy places the organism in Eukaryota, Metazoa, Chordata, Aves, Passeriformes, Passeridae.
GCCCCUCGCCGUCCUUUCCAGGUCCCUAGCCGGGCCGCGCGGCGGCUGCCGGGACUUGUAGUCUUCUUUCUUUCAGCAGUAAGGCUGGCUACAAUUGGCUCUUGGAGACGCAGUGGUUCUCUCUCGUCGCCGGAUGGCCGCCAUCUUGACUUCGUCGUUUCUGUGGAGCUAGCGGUGGGUUUCGCCUUCGUAACUCGAUGAGAUUGAGAGAAAUAGUAUUGCCGUCCACUAUCUCAAGCCAUCAGGAUUUGGGAGAUGUGUGGCAAACCUUUCUGGCCAGAGGAACUAUGACUUAAGACACAACCAUAGUUACUAGCUGGGCAGAGCUGCAGAUGUCACACCUCCUUGUGGUCCUGCUGGAAUGCCGUCAUGGUAAUUGAGUUGACUUCUGCCCAGAGACUGUGUUAUAGGUUGCUUCCUCCCUAUCAUCUGGCUGUGCCUACAAUAUCCUGGAUGUGUUGGAAUCCCUGAGAUGCAGUAUCCCUCUUGACAAGGUGCACAUGGUGUUCAAGUUGAGAUGGGAAUUACCUGAAACAUUCAAGGGCCUUGCUGUUUUUUGAUCAGUUGGCCAAAUGGACAACUUGGCAUUCCAAGCUGUGGUCACAGUGAAAGAAAUCUUAGUUUGAGGGAUCUUAUUAAAAUAGAUCCAGUUCUAGUUAAUGGAACUGUUCCAUCUUUGGUUGCUCUCUGGUAUCAUCCCAGACAUGGCAAAAGGGUGUGGACCAUCAUAUUAUUGCUCUGAUUGCAAGCAUAUAUGGUAACAUCAAGAUGUAUAUCGACAUGAUGAGCAGUCGGAUCCCAUCAGGAUUUGGAUUGGGAAUCGGUGAUUCAAUGUCUCAGAUUCUAUUUAACCUAGCUGUGAACCCUCUGCUGUGGAAGCUUGAAGAGGAGGGAUAUGGUUACCAAUGUUGUGAGAAAAAUUUAACAUUUAUGACUUUUCCAGAUGACCUUGUUUUGUUAAGUGGAUCAUGGGAGGGAAUUAAGAGAAAUAUUGAAAUCUUAAAUGCUUUUUGUGAUCUUACAGGCCUGAGGAUGCAAGGGGAGAAGUGCUAUGACUUCUAUAUCAAGCCUGUCAAGGACUCAUAUACCAUCAGUGACUGUCCACCAGGGACAAUUAAUGGCCUGCCCCUCAAUAUGACUGAUCCUGAUAACUGAGAAAUACCUGGGAUUUUGCAUUGAUCCAUGGGUAGGAAUAUCAAAAACAGACUUACUGAGAAAACUGGAAGAUUGGCUACAUCAGAUUGAAAAGGCUCUUUUAAAACCAUUUCAGAAGGUAGACAUCUUGAAAGGAUAUACUAUCCCCAGAUUGAUCUAUUUGGCAGACCAGGCUGGUAUGAAAGCCAUGGACCUUGAGUCUUGAUUUGGCAAUUAGAUCUGCCAUCAAGAACUGGUUGCAUUUACCUUCAAGUAUAUCUGAUGUCAUCCUUUAUUCCAGCACAAGAGAUGGUGGCCUAGGUAUUACCAGACUGUCAGGACUAAUCCCCAGUAUACAAGCUUGAAGACUGUAUAGGAUCACACAGUCUUCAGAUGAAACAAUGAGAGUAAUUAUAAGGGAAGAGGAAAUUCAGAGGGAAUUUGAAAAACUAUGGAUAACAGCAGGUGGUGACAAAGUUCCAUCACUUUGGGACCCAAAACCAGUUAUGGCAAUGAUAGGGAAGAUGUUUGCUAAUGUCUUUACAAAAAAUUUGAUGGGCGAGGGUAUGGGUGUUAACGUCUUUGAAACAGGUCUUAAUGUCUCUACUAACUUCAAGCAGCAGGUUUGUUACAGAGCCCAGACAGCUUGGCUCCUGAAACAGCCAAGUGGGUCUGCACAAGCCUGAACUUCUGAUGUUUGGGGUAAAAUGACAGGUUCAAGGGGGGAUAUGUGGUAGGCGGUUCAGGUAGGUUUCCUAGUACCUCAGUCAAUGGGGAAAGGAAGAGGGCAACAUGCUGCCAGGAGUUUAGGAUAAUGGAGGCAGUGUCCUCCAAAACCUUGAGAGAGAAAACCCCGCAGACACGUGCCCCAGUGGACUCUCUCUCUAUUUGAAUAAAGUUGCAGGGCUCCUCUGUCUCCUUUAUGGAUACUGCUUUUUCAUAGUGUGAUUUUUCCACACAAGAUGGGAGCUCAUCUGGGAUCCUUCCACCAUCUAGGGCCAGCACACGGCAAGAGGAGCUGGAGGCGCGCCUCACCUAGUUCCGGUGACCAGCUCCCUUUGACGCUGGCCAACACUGGGCGAUUGAUUGGGUACCCGAGACAGUCCAGGAGACAGACAAGAGGCAGACCAAGGGGCUUCAUGAAGAGUCCACAGGAAAGGACCACUGGAAAUCUCACCAGGGAGUAAAACAUGGCAGGAUGCCUGGAGGGGCAGUAAAGGAAAGUUGAGAAAAGGUCUCAACUAUAGGGGUGACAAUCCCAAAAUACCUUCAAAGGGUCCUUUGGGAGAAUGUUGAGAUGUUUUGCACAUUCUCCCAGAGGCAGUUAAGGACAUGGACGCCCAGAAGGGUCAAUAAGGGCAGUCGAGAAGGAAUCUUGGAAAAGGAUUGGCUGAAGGGGAGUGUGGAGGAAUAUGGUUAAGGCAAAUAGCAACGGGAGACUGUAUGAUAAGGAAAGAGAAACAGUGAGAACUGGUAUGUUCUCUGCCUUAUCUUCAUAGUCUCUAGUCUAAUACGGGGUGGCUGCAAGUCUUAUGUACUCCCAGCUUCCAGGAUAUGGAAAACAGGGAGGUACUGCUCCUACACCCCCACCCCUCCCCGGGUCAUUAUGAAGCCAGGGUGGAGAAUUUGGGGUUGACCACUUACUACUCAGGACUUGAGAGGAUUUCUCUAUGGUGAGGAGUGCCGAGGCCAGGUGCGAGAGAGCAGGACCGGUGGCAUGGGCUGGGGACGAGUAGGGAGGUGCACGACCAAGCUGGGGCUGUGGGGCAGCCAUGGGCUCAGUGCCGGGCGGUGCCCAAUGCCGCCACCCCCCCGGGGCAGGGGCUGCAGUGGCCCCCGGCCCCCAUGAGGUUCCGGGAAGUCCCGUCCGCUUGCCCGUCCCUGUGACACUGCCGGCUGUGCCCUCCCUGAGCUGCGACAGCAUCUGGUGCUUUGCAAAGCAUGUGGUGCUGGGAGAGCGCCCAGGGGCCUGGACGGGUUUGCUGGGGGGGCGGGGUGGGCGUCUGGACACUCCGUCAGGACAGGGACCGGCUUUGGUGUAUGGUGUAAGAUACAGGGACCAGCUUUGAUUUAAGAUACAAUGUGUCACCAAAGCCUGGCCCUAUAUAAGAAGGGAUUUUGUUUGGAUCACCAGGGAGGCCAAUGAUUUUGCAGAGUUUGGCGGUUGUGGAAGGGUGAGAGCUCACAUGCAGCGGGAGCAGGGGCUGGAGAGGUGGCAGUGAACCCUUGCAAGAGUUGGUUAGAAAGGCACAUCAGGUAUAUGAAAGAAAGGAUAAGGUAAAGGUACAGACAAGGAUAAUAGCAGUUUUUACAAGCUCGAUUGAGAAGGAAUCAAUGUGCCAUUUGUAAAAAAACAAAAGGAGAACAUUAGAAAUGGAUUGUUAAGGGUGUCAGGAUCUUCUAAUGUACCGGGAGCUCACCACACUGGAGCCCUUAUGAAAGGGGAUUCUUUUGAUAAUUCAGGGAGUAAGUGGGAAAGAUGAGCCUGUAUGCUUUAUUCAACCACUAUUGGUGAGUGUGUGAGAUGGGUUUGAAAGGCAUGAAUUUCUGUUCCUAGUUGUGAUUGUGAUUUGCUAGGAGGGGAUUUGAUGACUGAGUUGGGAAUGCAAGUAAGUGUGAAAAACAGAGUUCACUCCUUAGAAUUUUUAAAAGUUUAAUAAUAAUAGGAUAAAAGAGGGACAAUAUUUCCAGCUCUGGGGUGCUCCUGGCCAACAGCCAAAGAACACGGUUGUGAAAAACGCCAAUCACUUGUUUUUAAAAAUUUUCAAAGUUUAAUAGUAAUAAAAUGGUUAUAACAAUAGUAAUAUAAAAUUUGAACAAUUGAGAUUAGGACAAUAUGAGACAAUAAAAACAAAGAGUUACAGACGUCCGGGUACCUUUUUCUGGGCAAAAUAAGCCCGAAAAAGGACACCUGUUAACACCCUUAAAAACAAUAGCCUGUUGCAUAUUCAUACACGUCAUACAUGAUGCAUAAAUUCCAUUCAAACACAGGAUUUUGUCUGGUCAUUGUCAACUUCUUCCUCUGAAUCCUAAUGGUGCCUUCAUGGUGGGAAGAAGUUAGUUUCUUCUGAUAAAAGAGCAAUAAAUUCUCUUUCUCUGAAAGAUUUAGGUGUCUUGUGGCUGCUAUCUCACUGCGAGUCCUUUCUUUUUUUAAAAAAAGUAUCUUACAUAGCAUAGUUUCUAUUUUAACAUUAUGUUAUAACCUAAAACUGUAUUUAACACACUACUUGAGAAAAUUAAUACAGCAUAAUUUUCUAACAUAACACAUAUAAUACUCAUUUAAUAUUUGCAAAAAGCAACUAACUAUCUGCUGCUGUGGAAUGCAACAGGUGCAUCUUCCAUUGGUCCAUGUGGAUUGUUUUCAAUUGAUGACCAAUCACAGCCACCUGUGCCAAGGCUGUGAGCAGUCACAGGAUUUUGUUAUGCAUUCUAUUCUAUUCUUGUUCUUUGUAGCCUUCUGAUCAUUCUUCUCUCUCUGUUCUUUUAGUAUAGUUUUAAUGUAGUAUUUUAAUAUAAUAUAUAACAUAAUAAAUCAGCCUUCUGAUGAAAAUGGAGUCAAGCCUCGUGUCCCCACACAUGGAGUAUCCACUGCAACAUCCUGGUUAUCACUUGGAGGAUUCAUUCAACAGAAAGGGGAGCAACAUGAUCACUUUACACCAUUUGUUUGGUUACAUAGAGGUAUUUUAACACCUAGUGUUCAGCUAAGGCCUAUAAUAUAGUAUAUUCACCCCACUACGGUUUCUAUAAACUAUGCAAUACAUACUUAAACUUAUAGAUUUUGUUAUACUGGCAAACAGCUAAAUAAAGGUAUACAUAUGA